UGGUGAGCCCUUUAGUAAGGGUAAGAAUAUCGUACUCGAGGAUCAGGAGUAGGAGUACUCUCAUUAUAGUGAGUAAUCAGACGAUCAUCUUAACUAUCUAAAGUAGUUUAUACUUAUUUUUUUAUUUUAAAAAAUAAUGAAUUUAAAUUGUAAACUAUUAUGUUUUAUAACUGAAGUGUUGGAUAAUUGAAAUGAGAUUCAUAAUUUGUUUUGAAAUCGAAUACUGAUUUUGAAAAUUGAGUAAGUGGAGACUAUAUACUCGUGUUUGAUAUAUGGUUUGAAUUGAUAGCUUAUGACAAUGUGACGGCAUGAAUGGCUGGAUUUGUGUUUGUGUGGAAUAUAUGAACUGUUUUGUUUUACCUUGACAGGCUGGGUAAUAUCAUAUUAGCCAUGUCAUGUUGUUGAAAUUUUUAUUGAUUUGGUGGGGUAAUUGAUUAGCUUACUGUAGUGGGUGGGUUCCGUGGACCGGCCUAUUAGGGGGGACACAGUAAACCCCGUCAUAUUUUACCUUUGUAUGAGAGGUGCGGAGGGUAUCUCCUAAGGUAGUUUAGAGUUCACUUCAAGGCGAACCACCACGUGAGGGUGAAACUCAGCCAACGCCAAGGAACGACUAUGUUUUUAAACGUAAAAACAUGUUUUAUGUGUAUAUGUUAUUUUGACAGCCUUGGCGGACUCGGUUGGAUGCCCGGCGCAAGUUGUCACCGAGUACAAGUUUUGGCACGAGCCAAUUUUUUAAGAGAGUCAUAAGCCUUGUUGAUUUUUAUGAAAUGUAACUGUUUUAUAUGAGUUGAAAUGAGUUUUAAUGUUAUGAAUCAUAUUAUGAUGAGAUGUUUUAAUUGUCUCCAUUUAUUCGACUUUAGAUGUUAUAGAUGAACUUUACUUACUCACUGGGUUUAUAAAGACUCACCCCCUUCUUUUCACCCAUUUCAGGUUCAGAGUAGUUUGUAGACAGUCGAUUUUGUCGAGGGUUUGCUUUUGGAUUUGCACCUUUAGAAAUCAUAGGUCUACAAUCCUGUUUAUUUUUGUUAUUUUGGGGCUCACAUGUCAUUGUAAAAUAUUUUUGUAUACCCUAGCGCUGUGUGCUAUUAUGUAUAUAAAUUUAUUUUGUUAUUACGCUACAAUUAUUGUUUACGUAG
RNAcentral lists this long non-coding RNA (1136 nucleotides) under Theobroma cacao (cacao). RNAcentral describes it as "long non-coding RNA (TCAC_LNC005938)". The record is from RNAcentral. Lineage: Eukaryota; Viridiplantae; Streptophyta; Magnoliopsida; Malvales; Malvaceae.